This 317-nucleotide long non-coding RNA is filed under the name Jatropha curcas. RNAcentral describes it as "long non-coding RNA (JCUR_LNC003375)". The record is from RNAcentral. Lineage: Eukaryota; Viridiplantae; Streptophyta; Magnoliopsida; Malpighiales; Euphorbiaceae.
ACGAAACAAAAGCAAAAUUUACUACAUAUGAAAUGUGUCUAUAGAAAACAAAUCCUAUUAUCUUAUACAAAACUAUAUGAUAUUUCAAUUUACAUGUGGUAUGAUUUAACAGAAAAUUAUAAAUAAAUAGAGUUGAUAUAUUCUAGGUAUCAAACCUACUACUUCUAGGUAUCAAACCUACUACUAGCUAUAUCUGCAGAGAAGGAUUAUGACCCAGUUUCAAUAAUAAGUUCAGCAGCUGCACCCAUUGUACCAACUCCACCAAGUCCUAGCAAGUCUAGAGCAAGUUGUUCCUCAUUCCAUUGCCUCAAUCCCUU